Molecule: unclassified non-coding RNA, 303 nt
Filed under: fungal sp.
Lineage: Eukaryota; Fungi
Description: partial internal transcribed spacer region
Rfam family: Eukaryotic small subunit ribosomal RNA (bases 1-46)
Source: RNAcentral
AAGUCGUAACAAGGUAACCGUAGGUGAACCUGCGGUUGGAUCAUUAACAAAUGAUUUGGUCUUGAACCAAAACACUCUGUGCAACUACAUCUGUUUCUGGUGGUUUUUUGUGUAUUUCUCUCCCGCCCGGUGCUCCCGAAUGUCAAAUUUGUGUCGACGUUCACUCAAGCACGGGUAGAAAAUGGCAGGAGGAGAUCGCAGCCACCGAAUGACCAAUCAACUUUUGUAUUUUUUUUUUUGUCUGAAUCAUUCACAACUUUGUGCAAUGAAAAACAAUUUUUAACAACGGAUCUCUUGGUUCUC